Molecule: ribosomal RNA, 254 nt
Filed under: uncultured bacterium
Lineage: Bacteria
Description: partial 16S ribosomal RNA
Rfam family: Bacterial small subunit ribosomal RNA
Source: RNAcentral
GACGUAGGGCGCGAGCGUUGUCCGGAUUUAUUGGGCGUAAAGAGCUCGUAGGCGGUUUCGUAAGUCGGAUGUGAAAACUCCAGGCUCAACUUGGAGACGCCAUUCGAUACUGCGAUGACUUGAGUCCGGUAGGGGAGUGUGGAAUUCCUGGUGUAGCGGUGAAAUGCGCAGAUAUCAGGAGGAACACCGGCGGCGAAGGCGGCACUCUGGGCCGGUACUGACGCUGAGGAGCGAAAGCGUGGGUAGCAAACAGG